This 672-nucleotide ribosomal RNA is filed under the name uncultured bacterium. RNAcentral's name for it is "bacterial SSU rRNA". It matches the Rfam family "Bacterial small subunit ribosomal RNA", at positions 826 to 1499 of the family's 1533-position model. The record is from RNAcentral.
GGCCGUACCACCCGGGUAAGUGCCGUACUAACCCGUUAAGUGUCCCCCCCUGGGGAGUACGCACGCAAGUGUGAAACUCAAAGGAAUUGAGGGGGCCCGCACAAGCGGUGGAGCAUGUGGUUUAAUUCGAUGCAAACCGAAGAACCUUACCAGGGCUUGACAUGCUGCGAAACCUGCGGAAACGUGGGGGUGCCUUCGGGAGCGCGGCACACAGGUGGUGCAUGGCUGUCGUCCAGCUCGUGUCGUGAAAUGUUGGGUUAAGUCCCGCAACGAGCGCAACCCUUGCCGUUAGUUGCCAGCGGGUGAAGCCGGGCACUCUAACGGGACUGCCUGCGAAAGCAGGAGGAAGGCGGGGACGACGUCUGGUCAUCAUGGCCCUUAGGGCCUGGGGGACACACGUGCUACAAUGCCCACUACAGAGCGAGGCGACCUGGCGACAGGGAGCGAAUCGCAAAAAGGUGGGCGUAGUUCGGAUUGGGGUCUGCAACCCGACCCCAUGAAGCCGGAAUCGCUAGUAAUCGCGGAUCAGCCAUGCCGCGGUGAAUACGUUCCCGGGCCUUGUACACACCGCCCGUCACGCCAUGGGAGCGGGUUCUACCCGAAGUCUUUGGGAGCCUUAGGGCAGGCGCCGAGGGUAGGGCCCGUGACUGGGACGAAGUCGUAACAAGGUAA